This is a long non-coding RNA of Archocentrus centrarchus (flier cichlid), 726 nucleotides long. RefSeq lists it as uncharacterized. The transcript is spliced from 3 exons. Lineage: Eukaryota; Metazoa; Chordata; Actinopteri; Cichliformes; Cichlidae. The record is from RefSeq and is a predicted model, not a curated record.
GGCUGAUGUCUCAAACGCCACCGACCAGUCACUACUUUCUGUCUCACACUUGAUACCACUGCCCUCCACUGCAAAUAAGGUUUCUGCUUCAAAUGUGGACAUGACAUGGCUGAUGUCUCAAGCGCCACCGACCAGUCACUACUUCCUGUCUCACACUUGGUACCACUGCAAAUAAGAAUGAGUAGAAAAGCCCAGACACAAAUGGACGUAGGAGAAGUGAAUGCGGUUGAGAAACACCUGAUGAAGUUCAUCAGAACAUUCAUGGUUCUAGGCAAGAGCGACUGCAUGGGUUUUUACAAACGGAAACACUGGCAUUAAAGGAUCGAACAUGGGCGGAUGUCAAAAACUAUGUCAGAAACAGGAUCACUACCCUAAAAAGACAGACAAGCCUCUAAGUAAGGACUUUGCUAUCUCUGCUGUCUCCCAUGUUCUGUCAUGGCAGGCCGCCGUGCAGGCAGGAAGGAGGACCCCAAAUAGCAGACUCGGGACAGGUGUAAUUCACUCACUCGCUUUAUUUACCCCAAUCUGACAGACAUUAACAUGAGCUCUCCCUGGCAUACACUUAACGGAGAGGCGUGAAACUAACUAGACUUGACUUGUGCAAACAGACGUACAUGCAGGACAGCAGAGAACAACCAUCAAUGACGCGACAAAGAACAAAGCAAACCCAGGGGCUUAAAUACAUACAGAAGGCAAUGGUGGGUAACAAGAAACAGCUGGGGAACA